Molecule: non-coding RNA, 63 nt
Organism: Rattus norvegicus (Norway rat)
Lineage: Eukaryota; Metazoa; Chordata; Mammalia; Rodentia; Muridae
Source: Rfam
GGGGAUUUAGCUCAGUGGUAGAGCGCUUGCCUAGCAAGUGCAAGACCCUGGGUUCAGUCCUCA